This 5471-nucleotide long non-coding RNA is filed under the name Sus scrofa (pig). RNAcentral's name for it is "lncRNA (ENSSSCG00045000492.1)". Lineage: Eukaryota; Metazoa; Chordata; Mammalia; Artiodactyla; Suidae. The record is from RNAcentral.
UUUUUUUUUUUUUUUUGGUCUUUUUAGGUCCACACCUGCAGCAUAUGGAGGUUCCCAGGCUAGGGGCUGAAUGGGAGCUGCAGCUGCCGGCCUCCAUCACAGCCACAGCAAUGCCAGAUCUUAGCCAUGUCUGCGACCUACACCACAGGUCACGGCAACACCAGAUCCUUAACCCACUGAGUGAGGCCAGGGAUCGAACUCAUGUCCUCAUGGCUACUAGUCAGGUUGGUUAACCAUGGAGCCAUGAUGGGAACUCCUAAAUAGUUGAUUUUUAAUUUUAGUUUCAGGUGCAUAAAACAGAGAUUCAAAACUCUUAUAGAAUACACUCCAUUUAAAGUUGUUAUAAAGUAACUAUAUUCUCAGUGCUGUACAAUAUAUCCUUGUGGCUAAGCCCCUACUUAAACUCCUGCCCCCUACCUUGCCCCUUCCUCCUCCUCUCUCCCACUGGAAACUACUAGCUUGUUCUCAUUAUCUGGAAGUCUGUUUCUGUUUUGUUACAUUCACAUGUUUACUUUUCAGAUGCUACAUGUAACUGGUAACAUACAGUAUUUGUCUUUCUCUGACUUAUUUCACUAAGCAUAAUACCCUCCAGGUCAAUCUAUGUUGUUUUAAAUGGUAGAAUCCUCUCCUUGUUCUAGGCUAAUAUUCCAUUGUAUGUAUGUAUGCAUGUAUGUAUGUGUUAGUAUACACACCCCACAUCUUUGUUAUCCUUUAAAUUGUUAAGUGAUACGAAGUUUGCUUCCAUAUCUUGGUAAUUGUAAAUAAUAUUUCCAUAAACUUUAGGGUGCAUGUGGAGUUGUCCUGGCUCAGCGGUUAACGAACCCAACUAGGAUCCAUGAGGAUGCGGGUUUGAUUCCUGGCCUCGUUCAGUGGGUUAAGGAUCUGCCAUUGCCAUGAGCUGUGGUGUAGGUCACAGAUGCAGCUCAGAGCCCUUGUUGCUGUGGCCGUGGAGUAGGCUGGUGGCUAGAGCUCCCAUUGGACCCCUAGCCUGGGAACUUCCAUGUGCCACAGGUGCAGCCCUAAAAACAAACAAACAAACAAAAACUUUAGGGUGCAUGUAUCUUUUUCUAUUACUACUUUCACUUUUUUUUCUGGAUAUAUAUCCAGGAGUGGAAUUGCUGGAUUAUAUAGUAGUUCUACUUUUACUUUGCUGGGGAACCGCCAUCUUGUUUUUCGUAUUGGCGGCAAUAAAUUUACAUUACCACCAACAGUAGGAGGGUUCCCUUUUCUCCACAUCCUCACCAACUUUUAUUAUUUGCAGACUUGAUGAUAGCCAUUCUGACAGGUGAGGUGAUACAUCAUUGUGGUUUUGGAUUUCCAAAUAUUUUCUCCCAUCUCAUAAUUUACCUUUUUGUUGAUGGUCUCCUCUGCUAUGCAAAAGCUUUUAAAUUUAAUGAGGUCCCAUUUGUUUAUUUUGUUUUAUCUUUGCCUGGAGAGAUACAUUCAAGAAAAUAUUGCUACAAUUUAUGUCAAAAGAGUGUUCUGCCUAUGUUAUCUUGGAGGAGUUUUAUGGUUCCUGGUUUUACAGAUCCAUUUUGAGUUUACUUUUGUAUGUGGUAUUAGAGAAUGUUCUAAUUUCAUUCUUUUACAUGUACCUGUCCAGUUUUCCCAGCAUGACUUAUUGAGGAGACUGUCUUUUCUCCAUUGUAUAUUCUUGCCUCUUAUGUCAUACAAUAAUUGACCAUAAAGGUAUGGGUUUAUUUCUGGGUUUUCUAUCCUGUUCUAUUUAUCUAUAUGUCUGUUUCUGGGCCAGUACCAUAGUGUUUUGAUGUCUGUAGCUUUGUAGUAUAUUCUGAAGUCAGGGAGCCUGAUAGCUCCAGCUCUGUUGUUCUUUCUCAGGAUUUCUUUGGCUAAUCAGGUUUGUGUUUGCAUACAAAUUUUAGAAUUAUUUGUUCUAGUUCUGUGAAAAAUGUCAUUGGUAUUUUGAUAGAGUGUGCAUGGAGUCUGUAGAUUGCCUUGGAUAGUAUGGCCAUCUUAACUCUAUUAAUUCUUCCAACCCAGGAACACGGUCUAUCUUUCCAUCUGUUUGUGUCAUCUUCAAUUUAUUUCAUCAGUGUCUUAGAGUUUUCUGAAUAUAGGUCUUUUACUACCUUAGUUAGAUUUAUUCCUAGGUAUUUUACUCUUUUUCAUUUAAUGGUAAGUGAGAGCAUCUUUUAAUCUUCCUCCUAGCUUCAUAUAUGGUUGAUUUACUAUCUUCACUAUACAUUUACCUUACCAGUGAGUUUUUCCCUGCCAGAAUUUUCAUGUUUCUUGCUGUGGUCUUUUCCUUUUCAUAUAGAUAAGUCCCUUUAACCUUUUUUUUAAUUUCCUUUUCUUUUUUCUUUUUAGGGCUACAUCUGUGGCACAUGGAAGUUACCAGGCUAGGGGUUGAAUCAGAUAUAGCUGCUAGCCUAUGCCACAGCAACACAGGAUCAACCUACACCACGGAUCACGGCAAUCCUUAACCCACUAAGCAAGGCCAGGGAUUUAACCCACAUCCUCAUGAAUAAUAUUUGGGUUUGUAACUUGCUGAGCCACUAUGGGAACACCCCCCAACAUUUCUUAUAAAGCUGGCUUGAUGGUUCUGAACUCUUUUAGCUUUUGCUUGUGUGUACAACUUUUGAUUUCUCCAUCAACUCUAAGUGAAAGCUGUGUCAGGUAGAGUGUUCUUGGUUGCUGGUUUUUCCCUUUUGUCUCUUUAAAUAUAUCAUGCUACUCCCUUCUGGUCUGCAGAGUUUCUGGGAAAAGUCAGCUGAUAGCCCUAGGGGAGAUCUCUUGUAUGCAACUUGUUGCUUUUCUCUUGCUACUUUUAAUAUUCUCUUUAAUUUUUGCCAUUUUAAUUACAAUGUAUCUUGGUAUGGACGUCUUUGAGUUAAUCCUAUUUGGAACUCAGUGAUUCCUGAACCUGGAUAUGUUUCCUUUCUCAGGGAAGUUUUCAGCUGCUGUGUCUUCAAAUAUGUUCUCUGCCCCUUUUUCUUAUUCUUCUCCUCCUUGUAUUCCAAUAACAUGAAUUUUAUUAUGCUUAAUGUUAUUCCAGAGGUCUCUUAACUGUCCUCAUUUCUCUUUAUUCUUUUUUUCUGUUCAGCUUCAGUGAUUUCCACUAUUCUGUCUCCCAGCUCACUGACUCAUUCCUCUGCAUUAUUUAAUCUCCUUUUGAUUCCUUAUGGUGUAUUUUUUAUUUCAGUUAUUGUAUUCAACUGUAUUUUCUACCUCUUUGUUAAGUUUUGCACUGUGACCAUUCCUUCUUCUCCUGAGUUCUUUGAGCAUCUUUAUAAUCACUGCCCUGAACUCUUCACCAGAUAGAUUGCUUAUCUCCACCUCCCUUUGUUCUUCUUAGGGGGUUUUUAUCAUGUUCCUUUGUUUGGAACACAUUCCUCUGUCACCUCAUUUUGCCAAAUUUUCUGUUUUUAUUUAAAUGUAUUAGGUAGGCCAGUUUUGUUUCAUGAUCUUGGAGGAGUGGGCUAGGUAGGAAAUGUCCUAUGUGGCUCAGAAGGAUGCGCCCCUCUGAUCAUGAGAGCUUUAUGCUUUAGGGGUGUCUCCUACAUGGCAGGUGCCUCUGUUGUGGCAGACUGACUACUGUAGGUGGUCUGGUGGGCACAGCUGGUCCCUGGUCUAGUUGGCUUCUAGGUCUUGAUUAGUGUGGAGGCCACUAGCUGAUGGUUGGCAGGACUGGGUCACAAAGCACCUGGUUCAUUGGUGGGUGGACUCAAGUCCCAUGAUCUAGGGCUGCACAGCCCUGGAGCUGAUGCUGUCCUGUUGGUGAUCAGGGCUGGUUCCUGACACAGCUGGCUGUGGGGUCUGUGGUGAGUGGAACUGGGUCCCAGGGUAGCUCUCUCAGGAGUUCAAGUUACCAGAGUUGGUGUUGGGCUUCUAGUCAGCUGGGCUGGGGUCCUCUGGUGGAUAGGGCUCUGUCCCGGGGUGGAUGUGAGCUCAGAGGUUCUUAAGGCAGCGUGCCUGCUGGUGGGUGAGACUGUGACCUGGCCUGGCUAGUUACUUGGCAUGAGGUGUCAUGGUACUGGAGCUGAUAGGCUGGUGUAUGGGACUGAGUCUCAGUGCUUGGGAGUUAGUUAGAAGGAGGAUUUUAAAACAGCACUUGCCAGCUCCAGUGUCCACAUGGUUGAACAAAGUCCCCCAAAUGGUUGCUGCCAGAGUCUGUGUUCACAGGGUGAGCUCUGGUUACCUCUUUCCUUUCCAGAAAACUCUCCAAGAUCAGCAGGUGGGGUCUGACCCAGGCUCCUUUCUAAUUACUGCUUCUGCCCUGGGUCCCAGAGUCUGUGAGAUUUUGUGUCUGCCCUCUGGGAAUGGGCUAUUUCCCACUGCCCUCUGGCUCUCCUAAAAAUGAGCCCUAAUGGCCUUCAAAGUCAAAUGUUCUAGGGCUCAUCUUCCUGGUGUAGGACCCUGGGGCUGGGGAGCUCAAUGUGGGGCUUGGGCUGUUGCUCUUUGGGGAGAACCCCUGCAGUAGCAAUUAUCCUCCCAUUUCUGCAUUGCCCAUCCAGGCAUGUGGGUCUUGACUAUACUGUGACUCCACCCCUCCUACCUGCCUUUGUAUCUUUAGUUGAAGAAGAUCUUUACUGCUCAGUUCCUCCAUAAAUAGUUCUAAUUUCACUGUGCCUGUAGCAGGAGGUGAGCUCAUGGUGUUCUUACUCCACCAUUUCUUUCUUGACUAACCAAUCUCCUUGUUUCUCAAUUAAGUGAGCUCUCUUGUAGUCUCAAUGGUUCCUUCACUGAUGACUUUAAUAGAAUUUUGAGAAGCAUAUGUUAUACAGUGUUAUCAGGAAAAAGGAAAAAUUCUAAUUUUAAUUUGAAUCUAAUUUUAAUCACUAAAUGCAAUAGUUCUUCAAUUGAAAAGUUGAACAAGUCAAGAUACAUUCAAGUUCAAUAUUUAUUCCAGUAAUGCCCAUAAAAUAGGAAUGUUCAUGAUUAAGGCCACUGUUGACUUUUUGUUGUUAUUUAUGGUCAUAGCGAAAAGAAACAUCUUUUUAAUGCACCCACAGGAUAUGGAAAUUGCUGGGCUAGGGACUGAAUCCAGGCUGCAACUGUAAACUACACUACAGCUACAGCAACACUGGAUCCUUGAAUCAACUGCACUGGGGCAGAGAUCAAAUUGGUGCCACUGCAGUCUGGUUCUUAAAAGACUGUGUCAUAGUAGGACCUCCAAGAAACAUUUGUAGCUUAAAAAGGCUAUACAUAUCCAUUCCCUAGCUCCUACAGCAAUUUCACUCUAUGCCUUUGUGGGGGUAAACAUAUUAAUGAAUUUUUGUUUAGGAGGGAUGGGAGAGUCAAAAUGUUGAACUAAACUGCUCUUGAAGAAUGAUAUAAAAUCACUGAUUUUUUUUUUUUUAAAUCUCAGAUUUUAGAAAAAUUUCCUUGUUAGAGUAUGGCCUCUGAAUUAUUUUUUAAUACCUUGUAAUAAAGAGUUCAAUUUCCAGUCCUACUUGUUAGGAGCUUGGAAGUCUUUACUUUGUUUUAACAGUAAGUUACGAAAAAUGAAC